Long non-coding RNA from Carassius gibelio (silver crucian carp), 1687 nucleotides. RefSeq lists it as uncharacterized. The record is from RefSeq and is a predicted model, not a curated record. The transcript is spliced from 3 exons. Lineage: Eukaryota; Metazoa; Chordata; Actinopteri; Cypriniformes; Cyprinidae.
UCAAGCUGCUGCCGCUGCUGUCGUCUCUCUCUAUCUCUCUCACACACACACACACUCAUGGACCAUCACAUGUACAUGUAUAUACAGACAAGUACUGUGGAGUGCUGUACCCCUGUGAAACCGCGUAGGCUAUACAUCACGCUUGUGUUUGUCUGGAAAGAAAGCAUGAGAUGAAUGGUGGCGACUGCAUUCAAGACCUCAUCCUAAAGAAAGCCAUCCUGCUGUCCUUUGUCACUCAGAACAAAGUUGAGCCAGCGAAAGAAGAAGUCCACCAGUGAACGACAGCGAUGUUGUACAGCCGUUUAAAGAUCAGACGAUCAGGAGGACCCCUGGGUGACAGCAGAGUGAUGAUGACAUCAGCGAGCGGGGCUUUGAAGCGCUGAGCUACACAGGUCACAGAUCAGAGCACGGUCUUCUGGCGCUGACAGCCGGUGUGAGCGAGCGAGGCCGUCUCUGUCAGCGAUGCAGCUAUGCGGCCGUGAAGACUCCUCCACUACGGGACUAUCCACCGCUGCAGUCGUGGCCAUAGCAUGUAACGUCCUGGUAGCUGUUCUCAUAUUGGUUCUGAUACUGAUUCUCUGCAAAGCAUGCAAGGUUCCCUCCAGCCAGGAGAGCGUCCCGGUGCUGACUCCAGAGAACGCACAUCAGAGGAACGAGCAGAGGUACUUGCUUACAGCAUGAGGGAAAAAAAAUCGGAGAUGGAAAACAUGAAUUUGUAGAUGUUUCUAUGCUAUUCAUAGAGACCUGCGUAACUGAUGCAUCAUGUAAGAACACUCGAGGACGAGUCGUGAGCUGCUGGGACUGUACCUGAGCUCUCUUAUAUUGUACCACUCUGCCUGAGUGUUUUAUGGAAAGGUAAAGAGACUCUCAAUGCCCUCUUUUGAGUCAUUCAGUAGUGCCUGACGGUGUCAGUGAAACCCCACACCUGCAGCUAACCAGCUAGCAAUCAGUGUUAUGCUAAUGACCAUGCAAACAAAUAAAAAGCUCAAGUGCAAGAAUUGCAUUUUAAUAAGCGCUGAAUCGUGCUGUUUUGUGUCUGAAAGGGGAAUUUUAAUACAAAAUGCAAGUUUUAUUGUGGUUGUUUGCUUGUGCAGUGGGCCAGAGGGAUUGGUACACUAAUAACAUGCUAGCGUCUUUUCUUUUUUUGAGAAUAUCAGAGAAAAUUAAAUGGUAAAUAAAGAUUAUGAAUGUUUAAUAAAUACAUUGAAACAUCCAUCAAAAUCUUGGUCUUUUUUCAACAAUUGGUAAAGUUAUGACCUACCUUAUAGCCAUGCUGUAAGAGUAUGUUUGAUUGCGGUCACAUUUCAUGUUUAAAAAGCAUUUAAGUGUUCAAAUCUUUUUUUCCAUAGUUGUUUUUUAAAAAUAUAUUUUUGAUUCUUUAAAAAAGUAAAGUUAAAAAAAAAAACAGAUCGGAAAACCUCUAUGGAAUGUCACUAUCAAACAUCUUUUUUCUGCAACUAAGCACACUUUUCAGGGUUAGUCCAUAUCAUUUCAUGUUUAUGUGGGUACAACUGUGCAGAACUGUGCUAGCUAACCAUGUGCUGAUUAACAUCUUUGAGAUAGGUUCAAAAGUAUCUAAAAUUGUCACUACCGAAACAGUCACUGUGGAUGACUGUUAAACUGUGAAUGAAUCACUGUGAAGUCACAUGAAAUGUUGUGUCAAAAAUAAAGUAUACUGAAUUAUCUA